This is a non-coding RNA of Podarcis lilfordi (Lilford's wall lizard), 69 nucleotides long. Lineage: Eukaryota; Metazoa; Chordata; Lepidosauria; Squamata; Lacertidae. The record is from the annotation of a GenBank genome assembly.
GCAUAGCACAGUUGAUAGAGCAUGAGACUCGUAAGGUCAGGGUUGUGGGUUCGAGCCCCACAUUAGACG